AUACGUAGGGGGCGAGCGUUGUCCGGAAUGAUUGGGCGUAAAGGGCGCGUAGGCGGCCCGGUAAGUCUGGAGUGAAAGUCCUGUUUUUAAGAUGGGAAUUGCUUUGGAUACUGUCGGGCUUGAGUGCAGGAGAGGGAAGUGGAAUUCCCAGUGUAGCGGUGAAAUGCGUAGAGAUUGGGAGGAACACCAGUGGCGAAGACGACUUACUGGACUGUAACUGACGCUGAGGCGCGAAAGUGUGGGGAGCAAACAGGAUUAGAUACCCUGGUAGUCCACACUGUAAACGAUGAAUGCUAGGUGUAGGGGGUAUCGACCCCUUCUGUGCCGCAGUCAACACAAUAAGCAUUCCGCCUGGGGAGUACGGCCGCAAGGUUGAAACUUAAAGGAAUUGACGGGG
Molecule: ribosomal RNA, 397 nt
Filed under: uncultured bacterium
Lineage: Bacteria
Description: partial 16S ribosomal RNA
Rfam family: Bacterial small subunit ribosomal RNA
Source: RNAcentral